AACGAACGCUGGCGGCAUGCCUAACACAUGCAAGUCGAACGAGACCUUCGGGGCUAGUGGCGCACGGGUGGGUAACGCGUGGGAACCUGCCCUUAGGUUCGGAAUAACUCCCCGAAAGGGGUGCUAAUACCGGAUAAUGUCUUCGGACCAAAGAUUUAUCGCCUUUGGACGGGGCCGCGUUGGAUUAGCUAGUUGGUAGGGUAAAAGCCUACCAAGGCGACGAUCCAUAGCUGGUCUGAGAGGAUGAUCAGCCACACUGGGACUGAGACACGGCCCAGACUCCUACGGGAGGCAGCAGUGGGGAAUAUUGGACACUGGGCGAAAGCCUGAUCCAGCAAUGCCGCGUGAGUGAUGAAGGCCUUAGGGUUGUAAAGCUCUUUUACCCGGGAUGAUAAUGACGGUACCGGGAGAAUAAGCUCCGGCUAACUCCGUG
This 433-nucleotide ribosomal RNA is filed under the name uncultured bacterium. Its description in RNAcentral is "partial 16S ribosomal RNA". It matches the Rfam family "Bacterial small subunit ribosomal RNA", at positions 29 to 507 of the family's 1533-position model. The record is from RNAcentral.